This 253-nucleotide ribosomal RNA is filed under the name uncultured prokaryote. RNAcentral describes it as "partial 16S ribosomal RNA". It matches the Rfam family "Bacterial small subunit ribosomal RNA", at positions 524 to 776 of the family's 1533-position model. The record is from RNAcentral.
UACGUAGGGGGCAAGCGUUGUCCGGAUUUAUUGGGCGUAAAGCGCACGCAGGCGGUCUGCUAAGUUUGGAGUGACAGUUCCUGGCUCAACUGGGAAAGUGCUUCGAAAACUGGCAGACUUGAGGGCUUCAGAGGGACACGGAAUUCCGGGUGGAGUGGUGAAAUGCGUAGAGAUCGGAAAGAACACCAACGGCGAAAGCACUCUGCUGGGCCGACACUGACACUGAGAGACGAAAGCUAGGGGAGCGAAUGGG